Molecule: long non-coding RNA, 236 nt
Filed under: Carica papaya (papaya)
Lineage: Eukaryota; Viridiplantae; Streptophyta; Magnoliopsida; Brassicales; Caricaceae
Description: long non-coding RNA (CPAP_LNC016335)
Source: RNAcentral
GGUCAAGACUUAAAUCGAUUUUCAAGUUUAAAUCACAUUAUAUUGAAAUAAAUUAUCCAUAAGUUGUUUCUCGUUUUCUACAACAUUUUUGGCGAGCUAUUACAUUGUUGGUUUCUGCGUUCUUAUUAAGCUAGUGUGGCUCACCUAAUUUACUAUUAAUCUUUUCAUAUUAAGACAAUCAAGAUUCUAUUCCCGAACAAUAGGAGACUUGCUGGAAGAUCAUUUCGUUUCAUUUU